AUUGAACGCUGGCGGCAGGCCUAACACAUGCAAGUCGAACGGUAACAGGAAGAAGCUUGCUUCUUUGCUGACGAGUGGCGGACGGGUGAGUAAUGUCUGGGAAACUUCCUGAUGGAGGGGGAUAACUACUGGAAACGGUAGCUAAUACCGCAUAACGUCGCAAGACCAAAGAGGGGGACCUUCGGGCCUCUUGCCAUCUGAUGUGCCCAGAUGGGAUUAGCUAGUAGGUGGGGUAACGGCUCACCUAGGCGACGAUCCCUAGCUGGUCUGAGAGGAUGACCAGCCACACUGGAACUGAGACACGGUCCAGACUCCUACGGGAGGCAGCAGUGGGGAAUAUUGCACAAUGGGCGCAAGCCUGAUGCAGCCAUGCCGCGUGUAUGAAGAAGGCCUUCGGGUUGUAAAGUACUUUCAGCGGGGAGGAAGGGAGUAAAGUUAAUACCUUUGCUCAUUGACGUUACCCGCAGAAGAAGCACCGGCUAACUCCGUG
Molecule: ribosomal RNA, 490 nt
Filed under: uncultured bacterium
Lineage: Bacteria
Description: partial 16S ribosomal RNA
Rfam family: Bacterial small subunit ribosomal RNA
Source: RNAcentral